UAGGGAAUCUUCCGCAAUGGACGCAAGUCUGACGGAGCAACGCCGCGUGAGUGAAGAAGGAUUUCGGUUCGUAAAACUCUGUUGUUAGAGAAGAACAGCGCAUAGAGUAACUGUUAUGCGUGUGACGGUAUCUAACCAGAAAGCCACGGCUAACUACGUGCCAGCAGCCGCGGUAAUACGUAGGUGGCAAGCGUUGUCCGGAUUUAUUGGGCGUAAAGUGAGCGCAGGCGGUCAAUUAAGUCUGAUGUGAAAGCCCCCGGCUCAACCGGGGAGGGUCAUUGGAAACUGGUUGAAUUGAGUGCAGAAGAGGAGAGUGGAAUUCCAUGUGUAGCGGUGAAAUGCGUAGAUAUAUGGAGGAACACCAGUGGCGAAGGCGACUCUCUGGUCUGUAACUGACGCUGAGGCUCGAAAGCGUGGGUAGCAAACAGG
RNAcentral lists this ribosomal RNA (429 nucleotides) under Bacteroidota bacterium. RNAcentral's name for it is "Bacteroidetes bacterium partial 16S ribosomal RNA". It matches the Rfam family "Bacterial small subunit ribosomal RNA", at positions 355 to 776 of the family's 1533-position model. Lineage: Bacteria; Pseudomonadati; Bacteroidota. The record is from RNAcentral.